This is a non-coding RNA of Pristionchus pacificus, 61 nucleotides long. The record is from Rfam. NCBI's taxonomy places the organism in Eukaryota, Metazoa, Nematoda, Chromadorea, Rhabditida, Neodiplogasteridae.
UCUUCAUUUUUCACACUCUCUCACCGGUCAGAGAGGCGAGAGAGUGUGCGAAAUGAAGAGA